This 572-nucleotide ribosomal RNA is filed under the name Bacteroides fragilis. RNAcentral's name for it is "partial 23S ribosomal RNA". It matches the Rfam family "Bacterial large subunit ribosomal RNA", at positions 1 to 583 of the family's 2925-position model. The record is from RNAcentral. Lineage: Bacteria; Pseudomonadati; Bacteroidota; Bacteroidia; Bacteroidales; Bacteroidaceae.
AAGAAAGUAAAUAAGGGCGCAUGGCGGAUGCCUUGGCUCUCGGAGGCGAUGAAGGACGUGAUAAGCUGCGAUAAGCUUCGGGUAGGUGCAAAUGACCUUUGAUCCGAAGAUUUCCGAAUGGGACAACCCGGCAUUCUGAAGGAAUGUCAUCCAACCUGGUUGGAGGCUAACGCAGGGAACUGAAACAUCUUAGUACCUGCAGGAAAAGAAAAUAAAUAAUGAUUCCCCUAGUAGUGGCGAGCGAACGGGGAUUAGCCCAAACCACCCAUGUUACGGCAUGUGUGGGGUUGUAGGACCACGCUCUCGCAAGACAGUUAUUGAGAAGAAACGACUGGAAAGUCGUGCCAUAGACGGUGAUAGCCCGGUAUUCUAAGGUAACCGAAGCGUAGUGGUAUCCUGAGUAGCGCGGAGCACGAGGAAUUCUGCGUGAAUCAGCCGGGACCAUCCGGUAAGGCUAAAUACUCCCGAGAGACCGAUAGCGAACCAGUACUGUGAAGGAAAGGUGAAAAGCACUUCGAAUAGAAGAGUGAAAUAGUCCCUGAAACCAUGCGCCUACAAGCGGUCGGAGCAGC